Homalodisca vitripennis (glassy-winged sharpshooter) is the source of this 826-nucleotide long non-coding RNA. RefSeq lists it as uncharacterized. The record is from RefSeq and is a predicted model, not a curated record. Lineage: Eukaryota; Metazoa; Arthropoda; Insecta; Hemiptera; Cicadellidae. The transcript has 3 exons.
AGUUGGCAUCACUUUGCUGACUAGGAGUGGCAAGACUGGGUGAUAGUGACUCAUCGCUCAGGCUAUACGCAAUCGCCAUCACUGCAAAUGUUAUAGCGCACAGGAAGAUGAGACCUGUUGACAUUAGUUACUGUUGCGGAAGACUGGGACGGGUUGCCACAGCAAGUCGCUGUUCCACACCUGGUAACCUCUGGGAGGGAACAGACCCGCCAGGAGCAGCUCGGCACUCAUGACUAGUCGGGACUCGUCCUUAGUGUAAGCCAUCACCUGCUCUGGGAGAUUUCCUUCUGACUUCUUGCGGGCCAAUCCCCUGACAUGACAAACAAUUGUAUUUACUUCAAAAAGUACAUUUAUAAGUGCAGGAAUUAAGUAUCAAGAGUCAAACUGUUGACAAACCGCAUGACUCACAAAGUCCUCAGUACCUGAGUGAGAGACUGCGUUUUGGGAAGAGAUCUCGCAAAGUGUCAGCCGCAACCGGAAGCUUUACUUCCGUAGUGUGAAGUUUGAGUUAGGCCGAAAAAGUUUUCCUAUGUUUGGCCGACAUUGUAUGGUGACCUUACUGGUUUCCUGUUUCCGUAAGUCCUUUACCAGUAGUUGUUUUAAAAAGAAUGUAAAAUUUUACUUGAGUCGUCCUGAAUACCAAUUUCUAAAUGAGGAACGCUUGUAAAUAAAGGUAUUUUUAUUUAUUCAUUUAUUUAUCAAUCCCAUGAGGGACUUUAAUAACACCUGUAUAUAAAUCAAUCUAUACAUACUACAUAAUUGUGUAAUUAAAAUAUUACCUGAACAUGGUGUUGGCCUUCCUGUGGACCACUGUGUAGUUCCAGGA